RNAcentral lists this ribosomal RNA (459 nucleotides) under uncultured bacterium. Its description in RNAcentral is "partial 16S ribosomal RNA". It matches the Rfam family "Bacterial small subunit ribosomal RNA", at positions 338 to 795 of the family's 1533-position model. The record is from RNAcentral.
CCUACGUGAGGCAGCAGUGAGGAAUAUUGGUCAAUGGUCGGGAGACUGAACCAGCCAAGCCGCGUGAGGGAUGAAGGUACAGAGUAUCGUAAACCUCUUUUGUCAGGGAACAAAGGCGGGGACGCGUCCCCGGAUGAGUGUACCUGAAGAAAAAGCAUCGGCUAACUCCGUGCCAGCAGCAGCGGUAAUACGGAGGAUGCGAGCGUUAUCGGGGUUUAUUGGGUUUAAGGGGUGCGCAGGCGGUCUGUUAAGUCAGCGGUCAAAGCACGGGGCUCAACCCCGGACCGCCGUUGAAACUGGCAGUCUCAAGUUGGAGAGAAGUAUGCGGAAUGCGCGGUGUAGCGGUGAAAUGCAUAGAUACCGCGCAGAACUCCAAUUGCGGAGGCAGCAUGCCGGCUCCACACUGACGCUGAGGCACGAAAGCGUGGGUAUCGAACAGGAUUAGAUACCCUAGUAGUC